ACCUGGUUGGCUUAGUUGGAAGAGCGUAUGACUCUUGAUCUCAGGGUCGUGAGUUCGAGCCCCAUGUUGGGUA
This 73-nucleotide transfer RNA is filed under the name Felis catus (domestic cat). It matches the Rfam family "tRNA". From Rfam's summary of the family: Transfer RNA (tRNA) molecules are approximately 80 nucleotides in length. The record is from Rfam by way of RNAcentral. Lineage: Eukaryota; Metazoa; Chordata; Mammalia; Carnivora; Felidae.